GUGAGCAUAGCUCAAAUGGUUAGAGCACCAGACUGUGGCUCUGGGGGUUGAGGGUUCGACUCCCUCUGCUCACCCCA
This 77-nucleotide transfer RNA is filed under the name Candidatus Brocadiia bacterium. Its description in RNAcentral is "tRNA-His". It matches the Rfam family "tRNA". Rfam says of the family: Transfer RNA (tRNA) molecules are approximately 80 nucleotides in length. The record is from RNAcentral. Lineage: Bacteria; Pseudomonadati; Planctomycetota; Candidatus Brocadiia.